Molecule: ribosomal RNA, 301 nt
Filed under: uncultured bacterium
Lineage: Bacteria
Description: partial 16S ribosomal RNA
Rfam family: Bacterial small subunit ribosomal RNA
Source: RNAcentral
CAGCCGCCACGGGAAUACGGAGGGUGCAAGCGUUAAUCGGAAUUACUGGGCGUAAAGCGCACGCAGGCGGUCUGACAAGUCAGAUGUGAAAUCCCCGGGCUUAACCUGGGAACUGCAUUUGAAACUGUCAGGCUGGAGUCUUGUAGAGGGGGGUGGAAUUCCAGGUGUAGCGGUGAAAUGCGUAGAGAUCUGGAGGAAUACCGGUGGCGAAGGCGGCCCCCUGGACAAAGACUGACGCUCAGGUGCGAAAGCGUGGGGAGCAAACAGGAUUAGAUACCCGCGUAGUCCCUGUCUCUUAUAC